This 468-nucleotide ribosomal RNA is filed under the name uncultured bacterium. Its description in RNAcentral is "partial 16S ribosomal RNA". It matches the Rfam family "Bacterial small subunit ribosomal RNA", at positions 28 to 507 of the family's 1533-position model. The record is from RNAcentral.
GACGAACGCUGGCGGCGUGCUUAACACAUGCAAGUCGAACGGAAAGGCCCUGCUUUUGUGGGGUGCUCGAUUGGCGAACGGGUGAGUAACACGUGAGUAACCUGCCCUUGACUUUGGGAUAACUUCAGGAAACUGGGGCUAAUACCGGAUAUGAUCUCCUGCUGCAUGGUGUGGGUUGGAAAGUUUCGGCGGUUGGGGAUGGACUCGCGGCUUAUCAGCUUGUUGGUGGGGUAGUGGCUUACCAAGGCUUUGACGGGUAGCCGGCCUGGGAGGGUGACCGGCCACAUUGGGACUGAGAUACGGACCAGAAUCCUACGGGAGGCAGCAGUGGGGAAUAUUGCACAAUGGGGGGAAGCCUGAUACAGCAACGCCGCGUGCGGGAUGACGGCCUUCGGGUUGUAAACCGCUUUCGCAUGUGACGAAGAGUGAGUGACGGUAAUGGGUAAAGAAGCACCGGCUAACUACGUG